Helianthus annuus (common sunflower) is the source of this 1004-nucleotide long non-coding RNA. RefSeq lists it as uncharacterized. The record is from RefSeq and is a predicted model, not a curated record. The transcript is spliced from 2 exons. NCBI's taxonomy places the organism in Eukaryota, Viridiplantae, Streptophyta, Magnoliopsida, Asterales, Asteraceae.
CAUUUUGUCAACCGCAUAUCAUCUGGGUUCCCCUCUGAAAGCUUAUCUCACCGUCUCUCCUUCCUAACUCAUCCAAAAUUCAAAACACAGAGAACUCAUAAUCUCAAACACACAAACAACAACAUCACAGACCCUCCUUUCUUCACCCUCUUCUUCUCGAUUGACCAACCGGCGGUCACAGGUGGAGCCGGCCCCGGUUAACCGGUCAGCGAGACACCCCCUCCCCACUCUAACCACCGGCCGGAGCUGGUCUCCGAUGUCCCUCCGACCCCCGCUUAGCUGGCGAAGCAACAUGAACUCAGGCGACAAGAAUCAGGAGAGAGAGAGAGAGAGAGCGACGAAGAUAGGAGCAGCACCACCACUUACGGCGAUGGCGGUGGAGGCAGCGGUGGGUGUCUGCGACGGCGACGGUAUAUCUUGGUUGGAUCCGACGUGUUUUCCGAUGAUGACGAGGUGAACUUUAUGAGGAUGAUGAUCAGAUCGGUGGUGAUAUGUCGCCGACGGCGACAGGCCGACGAAGGCAGCGGUGGUGGUGGAAGGUUUGAGCUUUAGUUCGACUUGGAUUCAGGUGUUUGGUUCAAGUUAUUUUAAGCAAGGUUCGGGUUUUGUCCGGGUCAGAUCUGGUCAAGUUUUGGUGCGGUCAACUUCGGUCAACAGGUUCGGGUCGGUUAACAACUUCGAUUCGGGUCAAGCGGCUUCGGGUCAGACUCAGUUUCGGUUUCGGUUGACUCGGUCAAACCGAGUCAACUCGGUCAACACCUGGUCAACGCCAGUCAAACUUCAUAACGGUUCAGAAAGUCCAUAAAGGUCGACUGGUCAAAGAUGGGCAACGCAAGACGCGGUAAAGUUCAAACGACGUGAAAUUUUUAUCUCGUCAGUUUAAUUAUAGUUCUAGAUUUCAUAUUUAUACGCGAUCGAGCUCAAAACCGAAUACAUUUUGUGAUUACUUACGGUUUUGCGUUUUGACGAAAAUUACAUAUAUACAUAUAUUGUUUGGUUGACAA